Molecule: transfer RNA, 72 nt
Filed under: Dipodomys ordii (Ord's kangaroo rat)
Lineage: Eukaryota; Metazoa; Chordata; Mammalia; Rodentia; Heteromyidae
Rfam family: tRNA
About the family: Transfer RNA (tRNA) molecules are approximately 80 nucleotides in length. Their secondary structure includes four short double-helical elements and three loops (D, anti-codon, and T loops).
Source: Rfam by way of RNAcentral
GGGAAGGUGGCUCAGGGGUAGAGUGCUUGCCUCACAUGCAUGAGGCUCUGGGUUCGAUUCCCCAGCACCCCA